This is a long non-coding RNA of Salvelinus fontinalis (brook trout), 5962 nucleotides long. RefSeq lists it as uncharacterized. The transcript has 4 exons. Lineage: Eukaryota; Metazoa; Chordata; Actinopteri; Salmoniformes; Salmonidae. The record is from RefSeq and is a predicted model, not a curated record.
UUUGAGCAGAGGGGAGAGAUGAUAGGAUGGAAGAGGAGAGAGUAGCAAAUGUAUAAAAAAACUGAAAUAUCACAUUUACAUAAGUAUUCAAACCUUUACUCAGUACUUUGUUGAAGAACAUUUGGCAGGGCCUCCCGGGUGGCGCAGUGGUCUAGGGCACUGCAUCGCAGUGCUAACUGCGCCACCAGAGUCUCUGGGUUCGCGCCCAGGCUCUGUCGCAGCCGGCCGCGACCGGGAGGUCCGUGGGGCGACGCACAAUUGGCAUAGCGUCGUCCGGGGUAGGGAGGGUUUGGCCGGUAGGGAUAUCCUUGUCUCAUCGCGCUCCAGCGACUCCUGUGGCGGGCCGGGCGCAGUGCGCGCCAGCCAAGGGGGGCCAGGUACACGGUGUUUCCUCCGACACAUUGGUGCGGCUGGCUUCCGGGUUGGAGGCGCGCUGUGUUAAAGAAGCAGUACGGCUGGUUGGGUUGUGCUUCGGAGGACGCAUGGCUUUCAACCUUCGUCUCUCCCGAGCCCGUACGGGAGUUGUAGCGAUGAGACAAGGUAGUAAUUACUAGCGAUUGGAUACCACGAAAAUUGGGGAGAAAAUGAGAUAAAAAAAUUUAAAAAAUAAAAUUAAAAAAAAGAACAUUUGGCAGCGAUUACAGCCUCGAGUCUUCUUGGGAUUGACGCUGCAAGCUUGGCACACCUGUAUUUGGGGAGAUUCUCCCAUUCUUCUCUGCAGAUCCUCUCAAGGUCUGUCAGAUUGGAUGGGGAGUGAUGCUGCACAGCUAUUAUCAGGUCUCUCCAGAGAUGUUCGAUCAGGUUUAAGUCCGGGCUCUGGCUUGGCCACUCAAGAACAUUCAGAGACUUGUCCAGAAGCCACUCCUGUAUUGUCUUGGCUGUGUGCUUAGGGUCGUUGUCCUGUUGGAAGGUAAACCUUUGCCCCAUGUCCGAGGUCCUGAGCGCUCUGGAACAGGUUUUCAUCAGGGAUCUCACUGUACUUUGCUCCGUUCAUCUUUGCCUCAAUCCUGACUAGUCUCCCAGUCCCUGCCGCUGAAAAACAUCCCCACUACCAAUUACUUUCCGUUAGUGUUUAGUGUGUCAAAUCAGAGGGCCUUUUGUCCGGACCUCUGGCAGUCUUUAUGGGGGUGCCACAGGGUUCAAUUGUCGGGCCGACUCUUUUCUCUGUAUAUAUCAAUGAUGUCGCUCUUGCUGCUGGUGAUUCUCUGAUCCACCUCUCUGCAGACGACACCAUUCUGUAUACAUCUGGCUCUUCUUUGGAAACUGUGCUAACAAACCUCCAAACGAGCUUCAACGCCAUACAACACUCCUUCAAUGGCCUCCAACUGCUUUUAAAUGAUAGUAAAACUAAGUGCAUGCUCUUCAACCGAUUGCUGCCCUCACCCUCCCGCCCGACUAGCAUCACUACUCUGGACGGUUUUGACCUAGAAUAUGUGGACAACUACAAAUACUCAGGUGUCUGGUUAGACUGUAACCUCUCCUUCCAGACUCACAUUAAGCAUCUCCAAUCCAAAAUUAAAUUUUGAAUUGGCUUCCUAUUUCGCAAACAUAGCCUCCUUCAACUCAUGCCGCCAACCAUACCCUCGUAAAACUGACCAUCCUACAUAUCCUUGACUUCAGCGAUAUCAUUUACAAAAUAGCCCCCAACACUCUCCUCAGCAAACUGGAUAUAGUCUAUCACAGUGCCAACUGUUUUAUCACCAAAGCCCCAUAUACUACCCACCACUGCGACCUGUAUGCUCUUGUUGGCUGGCCCUCACUACAUAUCCAUCGCCAAACCCACUGGCUCCAGGUCAUCUAUAAGUCUUUGCUUGGCAAAGCCCCGCCUUAUCUCAGCUCACUGAUCACCAUAGCAACACCCACCUGAAGCACACGCUCCAGCAGGUAUAUUGCACUGGUCAUCACCAAAGCCAACACUUCGUUUGGCUGCCUUUCCUUCCAGUUCUCUGCUGCCAAUGAUGAAUGAAUUGCAAAAAUCUCUGAAGCUGGAGUUUUAUAUCUCCCUCUCUAACUUUAAGCAUCAGCUGUCAGAGCAGCUUACCGUUCACUGUACCGGUACACCGCCAAUCUGUAAAUAGCACACCCGACUACCUCAUCCCCAUAUUAUUACUUACCCUCUUGCUCUUUUGCACAUCAGUGUUUCUACUUGCACAUCAUCAUCUGCACAUCUAUCACUCCAGUAUUAAUGCUAAAUUGUAAUUAUUUUUGCCUCUAUGGCCUAUUUAUUGCCUACCUAUAAGGCCUAUUUAUUAGGGCCUCCCUACUCUUCUACAUUUGCACACACUAUACAUUAUUUUUUUCUAUAUUUCUUUUCUUUUAUGUUAUUGACUGUACGUUUGUUUAUGUGUAACUCUGUGUUGUUUUUGUCGCACUGCUUUGCUUUAUCUUUAUCUUAUCUUUAUCAGAUCAUGUUUCCAUACUGGUAAAUAAAGAAAACGGAGGCUUGCUACUACACAGUUCCAAAGAAAUGUAGAGCCUUUAAAGUACAUUGGAAGAAGGGGGAUAUAUAUUUAUGGUAAAUAAGCUGAAUCUCAUUUGAGUGUGUGUUAUCAUUCCCAUGUCCCUCUAGAAAAGAGAAUCAAGCAGACCAUUGUAAGGAUGUCUCUGAAAUCUAUCUCAGGAGUUGACCUCAAUGACCCAGUGGUAAAGGAACAGAUGUUGGAGCAGGUACAGUAGUCCUACAUCUCCCACUUCAGAAAUCAAUGUCAUGCUCACUCAUUUCACUCUUCUCAUGACAUCUCAUAGUAUUACAUUUAGGAUGCUCAAAUGUAAUGCGUGUUGCUGGCUUCAUCUAGUUUGAUCAUAUCUCACAGAUCAGAAAUGAGCUGGCCAAGAACGGGAACUUCAUCCUAGACCAAUGCUGGAGAGAACUGCCUAAUGGAGAAGUUUUUUGCAAAACAGUUGAACUUGAAAGCCCUGACGAAUGUACACACUUUGUGUCACAGUUAUGAAAACUGUGUGUUAGGUUUUGCAUCCCAUUGACAGUAUGGAAAUGAAGUAAGGUGUUCAUGAACUAAUUCCAGUGAAAGUCUUUGUAUUGUUGUGUUUGUUUUCUUAGGUCACUGUGGGUCUGGAUGAAGAGGACCAGCCAUGAUGAUGCAACAGGAGAGGCAUGGAACGUCAAAGAAAACUAAAAUAGUCCAUUAUAAAUAAUGUAUUAAAUAAGAUUAUUAAAUUAUUUUUAGUUUACGUUAUUCACGUUGUGAAAGUUAGCUUUCUCUUAUGAAAUACGAAAGAAAAAUAUAAAGUAUAUUUAUGUUAGGCUAGAUUUAGAUUUGACUAUAUUUCUCUAAUGCAACAUACAAUUAUAAUCUAGAUGUUUUGUUGGUGUUUGAACGUAUUGUGAUAAAAAAAAGCUUGUUGGGCAAUUUGAUUAGUGAAGAGAAGUGGAUUUUAAAGUUUGUAGUUAAAACAUGUAUGGUGACAGUGAGGGAUUUUCAUAGUGUAACAUUCUUCAUAAUGAUGUUACACUCUCACUCAUGGAUGUAACUGUUGACAUUCUUACAUAAAAUAGGUUUGAUUUGUGACAUCAGUAUUACCAUUAUUUUCACCCUCCAGCAAGAAUGGUGAGAUGGAGACACAAAUCACAACAAUGUAGAAUGAAUUGUCCACUUCCAGGUGGCAUGGUUCAGAGAACUGUAAAGAAGGAGACAAACUCUUGUAGGUGUAACAGAAUGACAGAAUCCAUGUUAUCAAGUUAAUCAACGUUUGGAUAUCAUUAGAGUUUUCCCUGGUGUCAUGGUUUGUUGACUGUGUCAGCUAUUACAGUCAUAAACACUGGCUCAUGGAUAGCAGGGUAGAGGUGUGGGGCUUAUUCAUGUAGUUGAUGGCUGUUAUAUAUUAAUCAACUUGAUAAACCAAACAGCCUGAAUCAGUUAGUGAAGGUUCAAAAUAUUUGACAUCCUACAUUUUUUGAAUGAUGUAGUCAUUUAGCAUUUAUUCAAAUUGACAAAAAGACAGGGAAGUAAAACCACAUACUAACUACUUGUAACACUAAACUCCAUCUAAAUAAUCUAUCAGGAACUAUGCUUUUGUAAAUACAGAAUUACAUUGCACUUUGUUAACACAAUUGGGUAUUAGGCUGCCAUAGCCUUGCAGGUACCACAUAUAAAACAGGACUUAAUAUACAAUCACUGGAAGGUCUAUGAUACUCAUAUAUUCAAACAGCAGGUUUCUAGCCAAAGACAUAGACAGGGGUAGUUGUAAUUAUACUGCAGUAUGCUCUUAUUGUACUAUGUACAGGCUACUGCUGUCUAAUUUUGAUCAACUGACCUCUGAUCUUGAACUUCCUCUAGUGGAGAUUUAAAAUACUGGUAAAUAAAACUGAUUAAUUGGUCUUGCUGGGGCCCCUAUGCUUUCCCUCACCUAGAUGCUCUGAACACUGAGGUGUGCCUUAUUAUUGUAAUGUAAUAUGUGUUUAUCAUGACCUUAAAAGGCAAAUGGCAAUGGCCAUGCUGCUUGAUAUGUUAUUUAAAGUUACCAAAGGAAACCUAACCUAGACAAGAGGGCCCAAAAAAUAGUAUACUUCUUCCAGAAAGACAGAUUUAGGGUUAAUACCAUUACAGGGGAAGAACUGACAUGAACAUUUUCAACUGACAUUUACCCAUAAUUUCCCUAAGCGCAAAGCCUUGAUUUACCAAUCAAAUGAAGAGCAGGACAUAUCAGGUUCUCUAAACUGAGUGGACAAAUUAUUAGGAACACCUUCCUAAUUUUGAGUUGUAGUUCUUGACACACUCAAACCGGUGUGCCUGGCACCUAUUACCAUAUCCCGUUCAAAGGCACUUAAAUCUUUUGUCUUGCCCAUUCACCCUUUGAAUGGCAGACACACAAUCCGUGUUUUAAAUUAACUGUCUCAAUGCUUAAAAAUCAUUCUGUAACCUGUCUCCUCCACUUUAUCUACACUGAUUGAAGUGGAUUUACAAGUGACGUCAAUAAGGGAUCAUAGCUUUCACUUGGAUUUACCUGGUCAGUCUUUGUCAUGGAAAGAGCAGGUGUUCCUAAUGUUUUGUGCCCUCGGUGUAUAUCUCCAUGGGGAUUGGAACUUUUUUUUAGGUUGUUUGAUUUACAAUAUAGGGACAUAAACACAGUCUUGGUGGGUCCACUCUUUCUAGAAUGAUCUUUCAGCAAGACAACAGAGAGGCUUGAUGAGGUUGACUGAGACAAGGGUGUGUUCAAAGAAGGAGGAGAGCAGAUCCUCUUUCUAAACACUCCAGCUACAGUACUUCUCCACCUGUCUGCUCAUCAAAACCAAACAAGCCUUGGCGAGAGAGAGAGAGAGAGAGAGGAAGAGCCAUAAAGUGGCUAUGUGGCUCCCAACAGUGUUGGCAGUAUUUCUGGGUGCAGCCCCUGACCUCUUCUUCAGCCAGCAGUCCUUGGAUGAGUCCUUCAGUGAUACCAGAGCAGUUGAACCAUCUCACUGCUCACAGGGAUUCCUGGUUGACAAAGACUUUGGUGGGAACGACAUUCGGAUGGUGUAUGAACGGAACCGCCAUCAUUGUCAUUAUGUAGGCCUAGUUAUUUAGCAAAUGCUUUUAUCCAAAUCGACAUAGAGACCAGGAAGUAAAACCACAUCCUAACUACUUGUACUGUAGCACUGAACUCCAACCAAAUAAGCUAUCAGUAUGGACUACAACGUGUCCGUACCAGGAGUUCCUGGGUACAUGGCCUCUUGUACAUCCAGAAUUACAUUGCACUUUGUUUACACCAUUUGGGAUUAGGCUGCCAUAGCCCUACAGUUACCACAUAGAAAACAAGACUUUAUUUAAUUUGCGUUGGGCUGUAGGAAGGUGACCUGCUUUGCAUGAAGCUGGGAGAAUGCACUGACACGGGUUACAAUUAUAUUUUUUACGUUUUGUUUUUUAACCACAUAUCUUCAUAUCUCGUAUAUCAGAGGUCAGUGGAUAUUGUUCUGUACAAGGCUAUUUAGUGAAGCACAUGUCCAAUGCAAAUACAAUAAAGUUUG